UACGUAGGUGGCGAGCGUUAUCCGGAAUUAUUGGGCGUAAAGGGUGCGCAGGCGGCCUGUUAAGUUUAAGGUGAAAGCGUGGGGCUUAACCCCAUACAGCCUUAGAUACUGGCAGGCUAGAGUACUGGAGAGGAAAGUGGAAUUCCAUGUGUAGCGGUAAAAUGCGUAGAUAUAUGGAGGAACACCAGUGGCGAAGGCGGCUUUCUAGCCAGUAACUGACGCUGAGGCACGAAAGCGUGGGGAGCAAAUAGG
RNAcentral lists this ribosomal RNA (252 nucleotides) under uncultured prokaryote. RNAcentral's name for it is "partial 16S ribosomal RNA". It matches the Rfam family "Bacterial small subunit ribosomal RNA", at positions 524 to 776 of the family's 1533-position model. The record is from RNAcentral.